Molecule: ribosomal RNA, 458 nt
Filed under: uncultured bacterium
Lineage: Bacteria
Description: bacterial SSU rRNA
Rfam family: Bacterial small subunit ribosomal RNA
Source: RNAcentral
GAGUUUGAUCCUGGCUCAGGACGAACGCUGGCGGCGUGCCUAACACAUGCAAGUCGAACGGAGAUAUUCGCUGAUGAAGUACUUCGGUAAUGAUUCUUGAAUAUCUUAGUGGCGGACGGGUGAGUAACGCGUGAGCAACCUGCCUUUCAGAGGGGGAUAACGUUCGGAAACGAACGCUAAUACCGCAUGACAUUGUUGAGUCGCAUGACAUGACAAUCAAAGGAGCAAUCCGCUGAAAGAUGGGCUCGCGUCCGAUUAGGUAGUUGGUGGGGCAACGGCCCACCAAGCCGACGAUCGGUAGCCGGACUGAGAGGUUGAACGGCCACAUUGGGACUGAGACACGGCCCAGACUCCUACGGGAGGCAGCAGUGAGGGAUAUUGGUCAAUGGGGGAAACCCUGAACCAGCAACGCCGCGUGAGGGAAGACGGUUGUAGGAUUGUAAACCUCUUCCUCUGUG